RNAcentral lists this ribosomal RNA (1235 nucleotides) under Candidatus Phytoplasma trifolii. RNAcentral describes it as "bacterial SSU rRNA". It matches the Rfam family "Bacterial small subunit ribosomal RNA", at positions 156 to 1387 of the family's 1533-position model. The record is from RNAcentral. Lineage: Bacteria; Bacillati; Mycoplasmatota; Mollicutes; Acholeplasmatales; Acholeplasmataceae.
ACGACUGCUAAGACUGGAUAGGAAACAAAAAGGCAUCUUUUUGUUUUUAAAAGACCUUCUUAGAAAGGUAUGCUUAAAGAGGGGCUUGCGCCACAUUAGUUAGUUGGUAGAGUAAAAGCCUACCAAGACGAUGAUGUGUAGCUGGACUGAGAGGUUGAACAGCCACAUUGGGACUGAGACACGGCCCAAACUCCUACGGGAGGCAGCAGUAGGGAAUUUUCGGCAAUGGAGGAAACUCUGACCGAGCAACGCCGCGUGAACGAUGAAGUAUUUCGGUAUGUAAAGUUCUUUUAUUGAAGAAGAAAAAGUAGUGGAAAAACUAUAUUGACGUUAUUCAAUGAAUAAGCCCCGGCUAACUAUGUGGCAGCAGCCGCGGUAAGACAUAGGGGGCGAGCGUUAUCCGGAAUUAUUGGGCGUAAAGGGUGCGUAGGCUGUUAGAUAAGUCUAUAAUUUAAUUUCAGUGCUUAACGCUGUCUUGUUAUAGAAACUGUCUUGACUAGAGUGAGAUAGAGGCAAGCGGAAUUCCAUGUGUAGCGGUAAAAUGUGUAAAUAUAUGGAGGAACACCAGAAGCGUAGGCGGCUUGCUGGGUCUUUACUGACGCUGAGGCACGAAAGCGUGGGUAGCAAACAGGAUUAGAUACCCUGGUAGUCCACGCCGUAAACGAUGAGUACUAAGUGUCGGGGUAAAACUCGGUACUGAAGUUAACACAUUAAGUACUCCGCCUGAGUAGUACGUACGCAAGUAUGAAACUUAAAGGAAUUGACGGGACUCCGCACAAGCGGUGGAUCAUGUUGUUUAAUUCGAAGAUACACGAAAAAUCUUACCAGGUCUUGACAUACUCUGCAAAGCUAUAGAAAUAUAGUGGAGGUUAUCAGGAAUACAGGUGGUGCAUGGUUGUCGUCAGUUCGUGUCGUGAGAUGUUAGGUUAAGUCCUAAAACGAGCGCAACCCUUGUCGUUAAUUGCCAGCACGUAAUGGUGGGGACUUUAACAAGACUGCCAAUUAAACAUUGGAGGAAGGUGAGGAUUACGUCAAAUCAUCAUGCCCCUUAUGAUCUGGGCUACAAACGUGAUACAAUGGCUGUGACAAAGAGUAGCUGAAACGCGAGUUUUUAGCCAAUCUCAAAAAAGCAGUCUCAGUUCGGAUUGAAGUCUGUAACUCGACUUCAUGAAGUUGGAAUCGCUAGUAAUCGCGAAUCAGCAUGUCGCGGUGAAUACGUUCUCGGGGUUUGUACA